CCUACGGGCGGCAGCAGUGGGGAAUAUUGCACAAUGGGGGAAACCCUGAUGCAGCGACGCCGCGUGAGUGAAGAAGUACUUCGUUACGUAAAGCUCUAUCAGCAGGGAAGAAAUACUGACCUUACGGUCAGCAGACGGUACCUGAGUAAGAAGCCCCGGCUAACUACGUGCCAGCAGCCGCGGUAAUACGCAGGGGGCAAGGGUUAUCCGGAUUUACUGGGUGUAAAGGGAGCGUAGACGGUGCGCCAAGUCUGGGGUGAAAUGCCGCAGCUUAACUGCGGGACUGCUUUGGAAACUGGCGAGCUAGAGUGCGGGAGGGGUAAGCGGAAUUCCUGGUGUAGCGGUGAAAUGCGUAGAUAUUAGGAGGAACACCGGUGGCGAAGGCGGCUUACUGGACCGUAACUGACGUUGAGGCUCGAAAGCGUGGGGAGCGAACAGGAUUAGAUACCCUAGUAGUC
This 458-nucleotide ribosomal RNA is filed under the name uncultured bacterium. RNAcentral describes it as "partial 16S ribosomal RNA". It matches the Rfam family "Bacterial small subunit ribosomal RNA", at positions 338 to 795 of the family's 1533-position model. The record is from RNAcentral.